CACGGGGGCAACCCCGGUGGCGAGUGGCGAACGGGUGAGUAAUACAUCGGAACGUGUCCUGUAGUGGGGGAUAGCCCGGCGAAAGCCGGAUUAAUACCGCAUACGAUCUACGGAAGAAAGCGGGGGAUCUUCGGACCUCGCGCUAUAGGGGCGGCCGAUGGCAGAUUAGCUAGUUGGUGGGGUAAAGGCCUACCAAGGCGACGAUCUGUAGCUGGUCUGAGAGGACGACCAGCCACACUGGGACUGAGACACGGCCCAGACUCCUACGGGAGGCAGCAGUGGGGAAUUUUGGACAAUGGGGGCAACCCUGAUCCAGCAAUGCCGCGUGUGUGAAGAAGGCCUUCGGG
This 347-nucleotide ribosomal RNA is filed under the name uncultured bacterium. RNAcentral's name for it is "bacterial SSU rRNA". It matches the Rfam family "Bacterial small subunit ribosomal RNA", at positions 72 to 422 of the family's 1533-position model. The record is from RNAcentral.